GAAGGAAUAGCUCAAUGGUAGAGUGCUUGCUUAGCAUGUGCGAGGUCCUGGGUUCAAUCCCCAGUACCUCCA
Molecule: transfer RNA, 72 nt
Filed under: Camelus bactrianus (Bactrian camel)
Lineage: Eukaryota; Metazoa; Chordata; Mammalia; Artiodactyla; Camelidae
Also listed under: 1 other name
Rfam family: tRNA
About the family: Transfer RNA (tRNA) molecules are approximately 80 nucleotides in length.
Source: Rfam by way of RNAcentral